RNAcentral lists this long non-coding RNA (982 nucleotides) under Ananas comosus (pineapple). RNAcentral's name for it is "long non-coding RNA (ACOM_LNC017097)". The record is from RNAcentral. Lineage: Eukaryota; Viridiplantae; Streptophyta; Magnoliopsida; Poales; Bromeliaceae.
UAUAUAGUUCCGGAUUUACUACUCUUAUUUAAUUUUAAAAGAAAACUUCAAAAACCCCCCCAUGUGGUUUCAUACUUUUUUAUCUUAGUACCAUAUGCUUUAAAGUGUAUUAAGUUAGUAUUUUGUGGUUUCUUAUUUUAUCACUUUAGUACCCUAUGGUUUAAAGUGUGUCAAUUAGUACUCUGUGGUUUUAUUUUUGUAUCAAAUUAGUACCCUGUAGUUUUUAAACCAUAGGGUACUAAAGUGAUAAAGUGCAAAACUACAGGAUGCUAUGAUAAAGUGCGAAACCACAGGGUACUAACUUGAUACAUUUUAAAUCACAGGGUACUAAAGUAAAAAAGUGCAAAACCAUAGGGUACUAACUUGAUACACUUUAAACCACAGGGUACUAAAGUGAAAAAAAGUGAAACCACAAGGGGGGUAUUUGAAGUUUUCCCUUCAUUUUAUAAGCAGAUCCGUGAAUAAAUUAAUUAUUCUUUAGAAAUCGAUGAGAUUUAGACCUUAUUUGAAAUUGCUUUGUUCAAAUAUGUUCACCUGUGUUAUGUUUAAUUUGAAUGAUUUAAAAAUUUUGAGAGCAUCAACUUCUAAUUCUUAGUACAAUGACAAGUUCCAAAGUCAUUAUAACAUUAAAUAAAAAAUAAAUAGCUCUAAAGUGCAUCUUAAUCUAUUUUAUCAUUCAAAUUCAAGGUAUUAAAAAUGAAUACUUUUAUUAAAAAAUACAAUUUAAAAUCCCACUAAAAUAAUAACUAAAUUUAAUAUUAAAUAUUUAUUAUUAGGCUAAAAUACAGAAAAUUAUUAUGUAAAUACUAUUUUUUUUACAUUCUUUUCUAACUUCCAAAAAUAUAUAUUUUAUCCACUUAAAAUAUCAAGUUACUACAUUUAACCCCUCCGUCAGACUCCGUCACUAUUUCGUUUCAAUUCUUAUAAUUUAUAUCAAAUUUUUUAAAAAUAUUUAUAAAAUUUAAGAGUAAAUUACAAACUU